Long non-coding RNA from Manis pentadactyla (Chinese pangolin), 1723 nucleotides. RefSeq lists it as uncharacterized. Lineage: Eukaryota; Metazoa; Chordata; Mammalia; Pholidota; Manidae. The record is from RefSeq and is a predicted model, not a curated record. The transcript has 2 exons.
ACCGCCUCGCGCCGGCCGACGCGCCCGCCAUCACGUAGCAAGCUCAGGCCCCACUUCCCUCGGGUGAGCUUCCGGCGGGGGCGGGACCCACCGCGGAAGCGGAAGGAGGGGAGCACACCGGGGGUGCGGCGGAGCUGUCGAGCUGUGGGGCGGCUCGGGGCUCGGGAGCUGGAUGGAGCCCGAGCUGAAUGGGCAGGAGCGCCGGGGCUCCGCCGCGUCUGCGCCCGCGAGCGGGCCGUUGAGCUCGCCGGCCGAAGCUGGACAUCCGCGCCGCAUCAGCGCCGUGCAGCUGAGUCCUGAUGGGUCCAGUACUUUAUACAGUCCGGAAGCGGGCUCCCGUGGCCGGACUCCGACGGAGGCUUAGACCAGAGCGCCGGGACCCCGAGACGGGCGCUGUGAGGCAGGUGUUACAAUCGCCACUUAACGGACGGACAGACCGAAGUCCAGGGAAGGGAGGCAACUUGGCCUAGGGCCCCUGGCCAGUUCGGAGGCCGUGGCCGCGACAGCCUUCUCGGGCACCCGUCUCCAGGGCUCUGCAGGACGGGGAGGUGGCCGCUAAUGCCCAAGGACACGCCGGGAUAGAGCAGCCCCGAGCCCCGGCGGAGGAAACAAAUGUGGCGUUUUCAGCAGAGUGAUCUUACACUACUUAAAACUUUGUUUAAAAAAAUCAUGUACUCACUUUUUUGGGGGGUGGGUGGAGUUUAAAAUGACCUUCUACAGCGUUCUUAGCAAAUCAGAAAGUGACAACCCAUUGAUCCCCAGAAUUUUGGAGGCAAGUACCAGCUUAAACUUGUGUUCUCAAAGGCAGUCUUUACCCUGGGACUUAAUUGGAUUACUCACACACCUUGCAUGCCCAAGACAGGACGCCUGCACACGAGUGAAGUGAUUGGUGGCCCAGAGCCACCCAGCUUUCAGAUGGCAGGUCCGGAGUUAAACCUCUGCUCUUGUUCAAAGCUCCUUCCCUCAAUAGCCCUUUUCUUGGGGGUGUGGGGUGUCCCACACCAAGGCUGCUUCAGGAAUCCCUGCUGGUUCUGGAACUGGUUCAGAGUUGACCGAAUGCCCCUGGACUCCUUGGGUUGCCGUGUGUGUGGCAGCCCUAUUAAGGGGUAGCUACUACCUCAUCUGUAAAAUUAAAAUAGGUAUGUCCAAGAUGACCUCUUCUGGAGCAAAAAACCUGGAAAACCAAAGCCUUAACUUAAGGUUUCAGGGAUGAGGUGGAAGAAUAAAAGAUUGUCACCUCAUAGUCAAGGGAGAAAAGUUACCUUUCAAAAAAAAGUACUAGCCAGAUACCAAGAUAGCCCUGGACCUGCGUGGGGAGCUGGCAGCCUCAGGUCAAGGCCAAGGGGUGCAUUGCCAUACCUGGCUCUGAGCCAGGCUAUCAAAGAAUUAAAACAAGGUCAUUGAGACCUAGACCAUGAAAUCUGCAUGGAAGGGCAUCUCUCUGGCAGGUGAGGCUUGGGUGGAGACAGUAUAAUGUUUCCUGAUGUGGACCCUUGGUCUCUGUCUCCCACAGCUAAAAGGUGACCUCAGAGGUGGAGAGGUAACAUGGCCCUGAAUGAAAGGCAGGCGGAGGUCAGUUCCACGCACAAGGCUAACAGGCCGACUUGGCUGCUAUGCCCUGCCCGUGGGGCCCUAACCUUGGACACUGAGUCCAGUUCUUCUAGAUGAAUCCAGAAAAGGCUGAUUUGGCUGUUAAUGGAUCAAAUUAGAAAUGAUUCUCAGA